GACAGAGGUGCCAAGCGUUAGGCGGAAUCACUGGGCUUAAAGCGUGUGUAGGCGGACCUGUAAGUGCCUUGUGAAAUCCCAUGGCUCAACCAUGGAACGGCUGGGCAUACUGCGGGUCUUGAGCUGUCUAGGGGCAACCGGAACAAACGGUGGAGCGGUGAAAUGCGUAGAUAUCGUUUGGAACGCCAAUGGUGAAAAACAGGUUGCUGGGGACAUGCUGACGCUGAGACACGAAAGCCAGGGGAGCGAACGGG
Molecule: ribosomal RNA, 254 nt
Filed under: uncultured bacterium
Lineage: Bacteria
Description: partial 16S ribosomal RNA
Rfam family: Bacterial small subunit ribosomal RNA
Source: RNAcentral